This 253-nucleotide ribosomal RNA is filed under the name uncultured bacterium. RNAcentral describes it as "partial 16S ribosomal RNA". It matches the Rfam family "Bacterial small subunit ribosomal RNA", at positions 524 to 776 of the family's 1533-position model. The record is from RNAcentral.
UACGAAGGGGGCUAGCGUUGUUCGGAAUCACUGGGCGUAGAGCGCACGCAGGCGGAUUGAUAAGUCGGGGGUGAAAUCCCGGGGCUCAACCUCGGAAUUGCCUUCGAUACUGUCUGUCUUGAGUCCGGGAGAGGUGAGUGGAAUUCCUAGUGUAGAGGUGAAAUUCGUAGAUAUUAGGAAGAACACCAGUGGCGAAGGCGGCUCACUGGCCCGGUACUGACGCUCAUGUGCGAAAGCGUGGGGAGCAAACAGG